RNAcentral lists this long non-coding RNA (1123 nucleotides) under Vombatus ursinus (common wombat). RNAcentral describes it as "lncRNA (ENSVURG00010008317.1)". Lineage: Eukaryota; Metazoa; Chordata; Mammalia; Diprotodontia; Vombatidae. The record is from RNAcentral.
AAGCUGUAUCUCUUCCUGGAAUACCCCGCCCCUAUACCUUGGUGGUCCUUGUGAUAAGAACAGAUUACGGUCAAAGCUGUACCUCUUCCUGGAAUACCCCGCCCCUAUACCAUUGGUGGAACUCCCCCACUCCCUCUUACUGUGUGUAUAACUACCCUGAGCUUGCCUUCAAUAAAUGAGACUUGAUCAGAAAGCCUGCCUUGUCUCCAUUUCCUGUGUCCCCUGCUCCCCUCCUUCUUUUACAGGUCUGGACCUCCGUUGAUGUCCCGCGGGACGGGACAUUUGGCACCCAACGUGGGGCCCGAGACCCCCUUAAAAGGAGUAAAGGUUUUUUGGUGUGUGCUCCUGUGAAAAAGACGACUGCAGUCACGAUACAUGAGAAUUGGUCGCUGCGGAUUUGCCUGAUCUGCGGAAUAGAGACCUGAGGAAAAGCUUGGAAAACGAUCACCCCUACGCUGGUGCCUCCUGGCUGUCCUGAGGGUCUGCCUUGCUGGUUUUGACACCCCGGCCGGCAACGAUCUCCUCGCCUCCCUUUUUGGGCCAUCCUGUGACUGCCGUGGAGGGUAUACACGGGUAACACUGCAGCGGUUCUCUUACUCCAACAACUGCAAUGAAUACACCGCCUAUCUCACCUAUCGACCAUCCAUCGGUGGGGGAUUUAAGCAACGGUGGGAGUGUGUUGCCAAACCCCGAGUCAUUCCCUCUCUGCCUGGGUCCCCUGGUCCCUGCCCCUCCCCCUGUCGCUACUAUCAAGCCAUUCAUUCCCUUUGCUAUAACAGCGUCCAGCAGUGUUCUUCUAAUAAUAAGGUUUAUUUGACGGCGGUUCUACAGCAAGCCUAUGCAGGAACCUUUGGUGGGGAAACCUCCGCCACUCUCCAGGGACAUACUAACAAAUAUGCCCAGGCGUCUUGUUCGUCUGCCAAUGUUGGCCACGAUGUCUGUUGGCCCGAACGUGCACCCCUACAUGUAUCAGACGGAGGGGGCCCUUCUGACAGAGCCAGAGAACAUGAGGUCCAGCAGCACAUUGAGGAACUCAUUCGGGCUCAAUUCCCCUCCCUCCAUUAUCAUCCUCUUGCGCAUCCCCGGCCUCACAGAUUGAGUCUCGAUGAUCAGACGUCUGUCA